AUACGGAGGGUGCGAGCGUUAAUCGGAAUUACUGGGCGUAAAGCGCGCGUAGGCGGUUUGUUAAGUCGGAUGUGAAAUCCCCGGGCUCAACCUGGGACCUGCAUCCGAUACUGGCAGGCUAGAGUCUGGUAGAGGGGGGUAGAAUUCCUGGUGUAGCGGUGAAAUGCGUAGAUAUCAGGAGGAAUACCAGUGGCGAAGGCGGCCCCCUGGACUGAGACUGACGCUGAGGUGCGAAAGCGUGGGGAGCAAACAGGAUUAGAAACCCGAGUAGUCC
RNAcentral lists this ribosomal RNA (274 nucleotides) under uncultured bacterium. RNAcentral's name for it is "partial 16S ribosomal RNA". It matches the Rfam family "Bacterial small subunit ribosomal RNA", at positions 523 to 796 of the family's 1533-position model. The record is from RNAcentral.